Long non-coding RNA from Chinchilla lanigera (long-tailed chinchilla), 1568 nucleotides. Ensembl lists it as uncharacterized. NCBI's taxonomy places the organism in Eukaryota, Metazoa, Chordata, Mammalia, Rodentia, Chinchillidae. The record is from Ensembl.
CUCCCAGGUACCAGGGCUGGGACUUGAAGCACAGAAGAGGCACACAACAGCAUCCAAGCCUCAGAAGAGCACAGGCCUUGCAGUGGCGCCAUCCUGGGCUCAGCGCCAGGUGCUGCCAUUCAGCCCACCCCCUGCUUCCUCGGCCAGCGAAGUUGGGGAGGACAGUCCGUCCUCCCAAGGGACUCUAAAGAUCGCCUCAUACAGAAAGGACUGCAGAGCUCCAUGGAGCACUGGGAUGGCAGAAAUUCAGCGAGGAUGGCCCUGAACUGAUGUCCCUGAAGAGCUGUGAGGGUGAGUCCAGGGCCUCAUUCCCUCCUAGCCUGCUGGAGGAGGAGGAUCCAGGGCCCUGGGCCCAGCGACCACAGAACACCAGUUCAACUGACCAGGAGCUGCUCAGCUCCCUCGGCCUCUCCUGUAAGGCCCUGGUGGCCUCAGGGUGCUUGCCUUUCUUCCGCACCUGUCAGUGGCUCCCGGCCCUGCAGCCUGAGGUUUGCGCGGACCAAGGAGGUCAGACGGCCAGGCAGGAACCACUGGAGGAUGCGGCACCGCCCAGCGGCUUCUUCCCUUACUAUCGCUCCGAGGAAGACACUCUCCCCAGCCUGGUCCUUCCCAGCCAGCAGCACUGGGGCUCCCAGGACGCUCUCUCCGGUGGGGAGACACAGGAGGACUGCUUCUGCGAGACCCCCGUCAGGGAUGGAUACCCUGCUUCUGCUGCAGGCUCCGACUUCAUCUCCAGGUCCUCACACUUACUGGCCUGCUGCCCCGUGCUACUGGUCUCAGCAGGGAGCUCCCUUGAUGGUGCUCUGGAUGCUCCUGUCUCCGGGACCCAAGGCCUUUGUGCCUCAGGAUUUGUGCCUUACUACAGAAGCGCCGAGGAGGAGCUGCGCACUGACCCAGGGCCUCCCGCCUCCGUGCCUGGGAGAGACUAGGAGCUGCUGGGGGCUGCGCACUGGCACCCAGCUCUCAGCAAAGGCGGAAGGUGGCUGGAGGUGAGCUCCCAUAGCUGUCAGUUUCCCCCAUCUAGAGCUGGGCUGGGGUCCAGCCCUCAGCCCUUUGUCCCUCCUGCCUCAGGGCCCUCAACCUCGGACCAAGUGACACCCCUCCCUGCCUGCCUAACCGGCAGGAGGAACUGACCCACCCUCUGAGGCUCACCCCAUUCCCUCAGGGCCCCAAGCUGCAUAUGCUGACAUGGCGCUUCCUGUGCCCCAGCCCACCUAAGCAGGCUGCGGUUGGCCCCUCUCCUGAAGGAACAGGGAGCAGCUCCGCCACCCAACCCCGCCAUAUGCAGCGACCCGUCCAGCUCCAGCUUUCCCCCCACAUUGUUCUCCUAGCUCAAAAAACUGCCCAACAAGGAACGAGCCGCCGCAGCUGAAGUGGUUCUGCCGUGGAAUGACUGCCUGGUCCAGCACUCCAGCCUAGACUGUUCCUCCCGUAGUCUGCCCUAAGCUGGGAGCCGGAAGAGCAGGGACUAGCCCGAGCAACGGAGGAGCACAGGUGCCAGGAGUUCGGUUUUCUAAAUAAACCAUAUCACUAUCACUACAGGGCUGGGGUCAGUGCACUGGUUUUGG